GGAUUAGAUACCCUGGUAGUCCACGCAGUAAACGAUGAAUACUAACUGUUGGCGAUAUACAGUCAGUGGUAAAGCGAAAGCGUUAAGUAUUCCACCUGGGGAGUACGCCGGCAACGGUGAAACUCAAAGGAAUUGACGGGGGCCCGCACAAGCGGAGGAACAUGUGGUUUAAUUCGAUGAUACGCGAGGAACCUUACCCGGGCUUGAACGUAGGGAGACAGUUUUCGAAAGAAGAUCUCUAGCAAUAGCUGCCUACGAGGUGCUGCAUGGUUGUCGUCAGCUCGUGCUG
RNAcentral lists this ribosomal RNA (289 nucleotides) under uncultured bacterium. RNAcentral's name for it is "partial 16S ribosomal RNA". It matches the Rfam family "Bacterial small subunit ribosomal RNA", at positions 775 to 1067 of the family's 1533-position model. The record is from RNAcentral.